UAAAAUCCAGCUGGCAAGACAGAGGUGGGCCAGCAUGAGAGUCUGCUGUGUGCCAGGUACUGGGCGGAGGAUAGUGACUCAGCCAAAAGGUGGCUUUGUCAUCCUGCAUCGUCUCCAUCAGCCUCUGUAAAGCUACCUGACUUGCCUCCAAGGUGUGCCUGCUAUAUAAACACUCCUUCAAGACAAGUUCCUGAAUUUUCCCCUUUAACCUCAUCCUCUCCUGAAGAGAAAUUCUGGACCCACCACUGGCUACAUCUCUGUCACCCUUAAGUUACCCCAAUCAGCUGAGGGGACAUAAGCCCUCAGGAGAAGAACAUGCCCCAGUGUCUCUGAGCCCCUGGGGCCUUUGGGGGCUCUGCUAUUCAGUCCCACCCAAACCUAGUCCCUCUGCCUUGGCUGUGAGUGAGUUCAGCAGUGGCUGGGAAGCCAGUGGAUUGUGUUCCAAGUGCCAGAUGAGUGGGAGAGAGGUCUCAUGCCAGCCAGCCGGUAGUGCAUGAAGCGAAGUGGGGCGCAGGGCCUGUGGUCACGAGAGGGCCAUGCGCUCACGGAGCCUGGGUUCUGGAUCUCAUGGCUGGGAGCGUCAAGUGACCUGUUUUGAGCCAAUGGCAACUCUUCAACCAAGCAGCUGCUUCUUCGAGUGAUUGAGGAGAACUUGCCUUCAAUUCCCCCGUCUCUGUCUGUUCUAAGACGUUUCCUCGGAGCAUGUAUUUGGUUUUACGUUCCUGAGAUGUUCCUCUUGAGAAAACACGGUUUCCUGUUUCUCUCAUUAUACGUCUUAAAAUGGUAAUCGUCCAUCAGGAGAAUCCAAAGAGAGAGUCCUUCUUCAGCGAGUGCCCUGCUGGCUGCUGGUGUUGGCCCUGAGUGUCUGGGUACAGUCCUUCUGCCUUGACCUCCAGAUGAGCCUGGAAAGUCCUGCUGGCUUUCCAUGUGGGCACCACAGACGUGUGAUCUGCAGUGGCUUCUUGAAGCCUGACUCCCAGAUGCAAAUCAUCAUCUUCAUCCAACACUCGGUGGUUAGUUUCAACUCUAGUGCAAGAGCUGGCUGUGCUGAGAUGGGCUGUCCGUCUCCAACAUGCUUCACAAUUAUGGCCUUGCUCAGGCUAACAGGGGUCAUGAAGAUUUGAGAGAGAAAAAAGUCAUCAAGCUGUGGCAUCAAGUACGAAAAUGAUUGUUAAGGAGACAAGUCAAAUAUGUAGAAGAUUUGAGUGAAGACGGAAAGGGCAUUUGGCUUGUGCCUGGAGGACCUGAACUAUGAUACACAGUUGUAUAUUUCAGUUGUGGGUCCUUCCAGUUGUGGCAUGUGGGACGCCGCCUCAGCAUGGCCUGAUGAGCGGCGCUAUGUCUGCGCCCAGGAUCCAAACCUGCGAAACCCUGGGCUGCUGAAGCAGAUCGCGUGAACUCAACCACUCAGCCCUGGCCCCGGCCCCUCUACGCUAUUUAAAUGUCUAUGUUUGACUGCCGAACUAUACGGGAAGCUUUUCGUGACUGGGAAGAAAUCUGUUGGCUGCUUCCUGUAUAAGCAUCUUCCCCACCCUCCUCUCUCUGCCCCCCACCCAGAGUCCAGCGCACGGCAGGAGCAUUAGUCUGCUACAACCUACUAUAUCAUAGCUGGAAAGUUAAAUUACCAGAAGCGGUCAUUUAAUGUCAAAUAAUAUGGAAUUCUGUGUUAGAGUUCUCCAGAGAAACAGAGCUGGUAUGGAUACAUAAGAGGAGAUUAUUAUGAGAAUUGGCUCAUGUGAUUAUGGAGGCUGAGAUAUGCCAUCUGCGAGCUGGAGAACCAGGAAAUCUGGUGGUAUAAUUCAGUCUAAG
Molecule: long non-coding RNA, 1809 nt
Filed under: Equus asinus (donkey)
Lineage: Eukaryota; Metazoa; Chordata; Mammalia; Perissodactyla; Equidae
Description: lncRNA (ENSEASG00005025719.1)
Source: RNAcentral